CCUACGGGAGGCAGCAGUGAGGAAUAUUGGUCAAUGGCCGUAAGGCUGAACCAGCCAAGUCGCGUGAAGGAAGAAGGAUCUAUGGUUUGUAAACUUCUUUUAUAGGGGAAUAAAGGUAUCCACGUGUGGAUAUUUGCAUGUACCCUAUGAAUAAGCAUCGGCUAACUCCGUGCCAGCAGCCGCGGUAAUACGGAGGAUGCGAGCGUUAUCCGGAUUUAUUGGGUUUAAAGGGUGCGUAGGUUGUUUUUUAAGUCAGCGGGGAAAGUUUGUGGCUCAACCAUAAAAUUGCCGUUGAAACUGGAAGACUUGCGUGUGUUUGAGGUAGGCGGAAUGCGUGGUGUAGCGGUGAAAUGCAUAGAUAGCACGCAGAACUCCGAUUGCGAAGGCAGCUUACUAAGCCAUAACGGACACUGAAGCACGAAAGCGUGGGGAUCAAACAGGAUUAGAUACCCGAGUAGUC
This 460-nucleotide ribosomal RNA is filed under the name uncultured bacterium. Its description in RNAcentral is "partial 16S ribosomal RNA". It matches the Rfam family "Bacterial small subunit ribosomal RNA", at positions 338 to 795 of the family's 1533-position model. The record is from RNAcentral.